AAGUUUAAAUAGUUUAAAAAAAAUAUUAAUUUGUGGAAUUAAAGAUAUAAAAUUUAUUUUAAACU
RNAcentral lists this transfer RNA (65 nucleotides) under Binodoxys acalephae. RNAcentral describes it as "tRNA-His". Lineage: Eukaryota; Metazoa; Arthropoda; Insecta; Hymenoptera; Braconidae. The record is from RNAcentral.